Molecule: long non-coding RNA, 322 nt
Organism: Apis dorsata (giant honeybee)
Lineage: Eukaryota; Metazoa; Arthropoda; Insecta; Hymenoptera; Apidae
Exons: 2
Source: RefSeq, a predicted model, not a curated record
UCGCGAUAUCUUUCGAGUUUCGAAGAUCGUUUCGCGAUUACCGCGCAAGUUGACGUGGUCGGUUUAUAUUAUAAACGGGACGUUGUCCAUAACGGAGAAGAGCAUAUCCCGACGAGAGAGUAGCAUAUUGAACGCGACGCUUUUCUACCUAUCGAAAACCGCGAAUGCUUUUAAUCCCUUUAACGAGACGACACUUCGCCGGCUUCGAAUGUGAACGUCACUCUGAUAUGAAAUCGAGGCAACUUAUCGCGAGAUACCGCGUUUUUCGCGUUCUCGCGAGCAUAACAGUCCUUGACGAUCUUUCAGAGGUCGCGAUUAAAAG